UUUUCACGCAGGCCUUGGAGACCUUCCUCGACAACCUGAUUCGUGCUGCCCCUGCCACACCUGCCACCUGUGUUCUGUCCUAGAGAACUUCUGUUCUGAACACAGGUCUCAUGUCUGUGACGUCUGCACCCUUCCGUCGAGCCCUUUGUCUCACUACGACACUUCUGCUGCUAGGCCCUCCCCGCAGAAACUUCUCAGACCGUCUGCAGCCAUCUGCAGCCUUCUUGGCUCUGUGGACCGUGAGUCUCUCCGGAGCAGGGACUAUGCAGACAGCGACUCGGUCCCUGGAGCAUGGGAAGCAACCAGGCCGUGGAGUGUGAAGGUGGAGGCAGGGCCCUCCUUCUGAGCCGGACAGCCAUCCGACACUCCUCAGAGCGUGGAGAACCUCAAGAAUGAAGAAGGCCCGGAUCUCCUGCCUCUCUGGCUUAGGAAGAUCAGAGGAGAAAUAAAAUCGGGAAAACCUAGGAGAGGCGGCCAUGGAGACUUGGACCUCAAGGCCUGGGGAGAGAGCUGUCCGCUCUCAAGCCUCAGCCCUUUCUCAGGAUGGGAAGGACAAGACCGAGUUUCAGAAAACCUUGGGCCACGGUCCACAAUUGAGGAUGACACGGCAUGAUUUGAAGGGGCCUCAUUUGGUUGUGGACACGGUUGCAAAAACAGCCAUUGGUUGCUUCUGUUCAGCGUGGACUUGGAAGCCCGUAAAAGGCGUGUGUGGAGGGGAUGGGGGGCUAGAGCAGCAAAGAACAGGAUUUGCCCAGCUGCUGAUGGAGGGGCGAGGGGCUGGUUGGUGAAGAAUAGUCAUUCUGGCAGAGAAGGUGGUUUUGGGGUGUGUGCAGACACGCGCACUCUAACAGCAUAUACUGUUGGAACCGUUGUUGUGGAGGACAAGCUGGCGUUCUACAGUUGGAGUCAAACUGUAAGAUGAACGACCGUAUGAUUGAAGCAAUACAGCCCUAUGGAAUUGCCCUCAGAAGUGCUUACAUUGAGCAGAGUAGUUAGGGCUCCUUGCUUUGCUCUUUGGAUAAACAUGGAAGGUCCGUUGGUUACAAUCGACAUAUUGGCAUCAGACAUGAAUAAAACUUGAUUUGACCUGCUGGACGGAGCA
Molecule: long non-coding RNA, 1102 nt
Filed under: Ursus maritimus (polar bear)
Lineage: Eukaryota; Metazoa; Chordata; Mammalia; Carnivora; Ursidae
Description: lncRNA (ENSUMAG00000023145.1)
Source: RNAcentral